AUUGAACGCUGGCGGCAUGCUUUACACAUGCAAGUCGAACGGUAACAGGCCUUCGGGUGCUGACGAGUGGCGAACGGGUGAGUAAUGCAUCGGAACGUGCCCAGAGGUUGGGGAUAACGCAGCGAAAGCUGUGCUAAUACCGCAUGUGAUCUGAGGAUGAAAGCGGGGGACCAGGCAGGAAUGUUUGGCCUCGCGCCUUUGGACCGGCCGAUGUCAGAUUAGGUAGUUGGUGGGGUAAAGGCCUACCAAGCCGACGAUCUGUAGCCGGUCUGAGAGGACGACCAGCCACACUGGGACUGAGACACGGCCCAGACUCCUACGGGAGGCAGCAGUGGGGAAUUUUGGACAAUGGGCGCAAGCCUGAUCCAGCAAUGCCGCGUGCGGGAAGAAGGCCUUCGGGUUGUAAACCGCUUUUGUACGGAACGAAAAGGCUCUGGCUAAUACCUGGGGCUGAUGACGGUACCGUAAGAAUAAGCACCGGCUAACUACGUG
This 492-nucleotide ribosomal RNA is filed under the name uncultured bacterium. Its description in RNAcentral is "partial 16S ribosomal RNA". It matches the Rfam family "Bacterial small subunit ribosomal RNA", at positions 30 to 507 of the family's 1533-position model. The record is from RNAcentral.